Molecule: long non-coding RNA, 196 nt
Filed under: Numida meleagris (helmeted guineafowl)
Lineage: Eukaryota; Metazoa; Chordata; Aves; Galliformes; Numididae
Description: lncRNA (ENSNMEG00000018663.1)
Source: RNAcentral
AUUUAUUUAAGAUCUGCGGGAAUCUCCCAUGAGGACCUUGCCAAGCAAUGGGAACAGAUAAUUUAGAGAUUUUUCUUCCUCCAUUGACUUCAUGGGCAAUUGAACAAACUACUGAAGGAAGCAAUUAUUUCAGCUAUUGUGCAAAAGACGAAUGGCAGCAGUAUUACCAUCACCUUCUUGAGCUAUGUUUUAAAAG